AAAAAAAAAAAAAGGCUGCAGGGCAAAGACAGAGGUCUGUUUCCUGCCCUCAAGCGCUAACUACAUAGUGGGAGAGACAAAGCCCCCGGGACUUCCAGGUGGAUCCCAGGCAGUUUCCUCUGGAGGGAAGUGGGAUGCGAUCCCCCUCACCUGCUCUCCCUGCCUUCCCCUGCUGCUCGGGAGCUUCUUGGUCCCCUGGCUGCUGGCGGAAGGCACCUAGAAAGUCACUAGGACAGCCUGGUGGGGAUCGGCCUUACUCCAAGAACCGCCCUCUUCCAGCCCCCAUGCACCUUGCCCUGCCCUGCCCAUGUGAGCAGGACGAUCUGCAGUACCACUGAGCAGGAGGGCAUACUGGCACUGCCACUGUAAGCCUCAGGUUUUCUGGGGCUGUCCCAGUUUGCUUUGAUUUGGUUCAUUUCAACAAAGGCAGUUCAUUAACGUAAAGUGUUUUUAUAAAUAAAUCAUCUUCCGUCAGCCCCUGUGCCCUGAGUUUUAGUUUGGGAGAUGUGGCCACGAUGGGCACACAUCAGAUGUGCUCCCCUGUUUGGGCCACUGAGGCUGCCUGAUGUCUUUGAAGCUUUGGGCCACCGCUUAUCUAAACAGCUAAUUAAAAUGAGGUUGAGUUACCGUGAGCCCAGUCCACACCGCUCAGAAGAAAGCUCAUUUGUGCAUAAUCACUGAGGGUGUCCUCUAAUUGGCAGGGUUAGGGCUCAUUUCCGCCAGAGCGUGGAUGCAGAAAUCACCUGGCGCUCUCCUGCCCGGCUCCUGGCAUUGUCUGUGGCAUCCCGGGAACGAUCAGGGUUGGCGAUGAGUUGGUGCAAACCUGAUCCCAGAAGGGGCAGGCUGAUGCGUCUUGUGGGGCUGCUGGCCUCUGAUCAACAAAGACCGAGGGUUGCUGCUCCGGGCACGGAUCUCAGUCAGCCCCACCAUCUGGGCACUGCGGUCUGUGCCUCAGGCUGGAGGCAGGUGGUUCAGAAAUGGCUCUUGUUACCUGCUGGCCAAUGGGGCGUGCCCACGAGGGGAUUUCUGGCCUCACAGACCCUGUCCCAAGUGCAGCAAGCCCCUCUCGUCCCUGGAUGGGGACAGAAAUGGAAUGACUGGGGCACCUUAACUCUAGCAGCCUGAAGGAGGUGAUGUGUUUGCCCUGAAACCUGGUCAGCAGGUGAGUGAUAACCACGUACACGGGUUAACAGCUUUCCUUCCAUCAGAAAUGACACCAGUGACUAAAAGGAACUAGGCAGAAAUCAACACUAAGUCAAAUAUUUGAAGGAAGCUGAUAAGUUCGUCCUUUGAGGGCCACAGGCUGUGGGUGGAGAAGACUGAGCAGGGGUGGCAUCCUCAGCCUGCUGGACACCAGGGGAGGCCACCUCUGUCCAUACUCUUCAGUCAUCUGCCAGGAAUAGAGUCGAAAGCGGGCUGUACUCCUAAUAUCGCCGUAUUACCAAGGGGAAAGGUUGGCUUUUGGAUGUUGAAAGAAUAUGGCAAUUUGACACAAACACUCUAAUUUGGUUGGUUUACAAAAGGGCCUUGUGAUGGAAAUGGAAUAUGAGGAGCUCAGGGGACACACUGCAGCCACGUUAAGCAUGAAUUAUGGAUAAGGGAACAGAGUAAGAUGACAGCAGCUUCCAGCUCUGGCCAAAUAGCCGCUUAGGGAACGAAUUACUGCUAGACUUUAACAAAACAAUGCUGUUGUUUUCUGAGCCAGGGGACUGGAAAGUUCUUUUUAAGCUUUGCUAAUGGGAGACAGGUCAUCUGUGGAUCUGAUCCUUGUCAUAGAGCAGUUGAACCUGUCCCCACCUGCCUGCAGUUAACGAGGCUGCGGCUGAACUCUGCUGUGCUGGAAACGGUGCCGUGUGACUGAAGUAGGCUGAUGGAGAGUUAAAAAUACAAGUUGCCUUGGCAAGGCUUUUGCAAACACCUGCCUUGCAGGCUGUCCUCCCACACAGCGACCUUGGGAAAGCCAGGAAGAGCUGAGUAGGGGGAGCCAGGGUGUAACUGCACUCCCCGGGGCACUGGCGGCGUCUCUGUCCUCUUGCAGAAUUUGCACAUGCGGCAGUCAGCAGGGGCUUGGUGGUGGACCAGCCUGGUCCUAGGAGGACUCACGACUCUGAGGAGGACAUAGUGGCUGCUCAGCCCUCUAAUCUGCUUGUUGACCAAGUCAGCAAGGGACUGGGUUCUAGUCUCACAGAGGAAGGGCUGGUGCCCCAAGAGUGGCUCUGAUGGGAUGGCAGUGGUCAAGGGGCCCGCUGAGGAGCUAGCUGCCACGUCUGUCUUAGAGAAACGACAAGGCAGUGUUUGUCCUAGCAUUGGGCGAGGGAAGAAAAGACAUGGCCUGACAGCUCAGCCUGGGGGGACUUCCCCUUCCAUUCCUAGGGAAAUAAACGGCCCCCAGUGCAGAGCAGUCAAACGGCUGCUUCUGGAAGCCCACGCUGGGCAUCAGAGGCCAAAAGUGGGCUGGGGACAACAUGGCACCCGCCAGAGCCCAGCAAGAGGCAAUCUGCCAUCGCACAUUAGAGGCAGCCCUUGUCCAAGUCGCCGCAGGUCCCUGCAGCGGUAGCCAGGUAACCAUCUGGCCUGGCUGCACGGGUGACGCGGGCAGGCCUGUGUGGCUCACAGCACCUCAGCCUGGCCAGCCAGCGCCGUGAGCUCACUGCUGCUGCAGCUGCCGCUCAGAGCGAAGGCUCCGUCAGGCAGUGGGAAACGGCCCUGUUGGAGCCCCUGUGGUGGCUUGCCUGGAAUAGCCGCGGGACAGUUGUCGGGAGAAGGCUGGACCCUCACCAGGGGAAGCCGUUUCUCAGCAACUGUAAACAAAGUGGGUUUGCAGCGGCCAGCGUCUGCCAUCUAACACGUGUGGUGGGAAGCGCUAGCCCCUGAAACGUGGGGCCUGUAGCUCUCAAGAGGGGGGGAUGGGGGUGAAGGACUUCAUCUUGGGGGUGUCAGCCUUCCCUUUCAGAAAGGACCAAGCCCUCUCUUGGGGAAAUUCAGUUUCCCUCUGAUCAGCUGAAACCCUAGCGUUCAGCCAGCGCAGGGAGUUGUGCUUGGUAGGAGAAGGUGACGCCGUCCCUGGAGUAUCUCUGAAACAUAAAUUAUUGCCUGGGCAACAGCAGCACCAGGGUGGCACAUGACUUGGGUUGCAAAACACACUCUAGUGGCAGAGACGAAAUUCUCAGGGGGGCUGUGUAGUCCCUUGGAGAAUCUGAUGCGAGGUAACCACGCUUUUUCCCAGAAAAUGCCCUCAUGCACCAUUUCACACACAGCAGGUCCUUAAAUAGCAUCGUUUUAUUCAAUGUCAUUUUGUUAUAACAUUGAGAAAAAAAUUGAUUCCCGGCUGGGGCCACUGUGUACAGUCUAGACGUCCUCCCGGUCUGAGAGUUUUCUGGGCACUCUGGUUUCCUCCCACACCCCAAAGAUGUGCAAGGUGAGGUUUGUUGGUGUCUGGUUGCAGUCUGAGUGUGUGUGUGGAGGGUGAGUGUGCCCUGUGAUGGGAGGGCAUCCUGUCCAGGGUGGUCCCUGCCUUGCACACUGAGCCGUUGGGAUAGGCUCUGGUCGCCCACCACCUUGAACUGGAAUAACUGAGUUGGAAAAUGAAAGAAGGAAUGAAUAAAAAUUACUGUAAAAUAAAAAUUGCCUCCCAUAACCAUACAAAUGCACAAUAGUAGAUGACGCCGUGCAGAAGUGCCCAGUGAGCCCGUUCAUUCUGGUGUCUGGCCUGCGUGGUGGAAGGAGGUGCUCCUGACAAUUUUUGCUUCGCGAACAUUUAUUCUGUGAUAUAACUCACCGUCGCUGCAGCUGCCAGCACCCAGUCACCAAAAAUUGGGUAAUUACCUUGUUUUUAGUAAUUUUUCUUAAAUGUAUGUAUAACUCAUGUCUACUUAAUGUUUAAUAUUAGAAGUGUUUGCUUUAAAGAAGUUCUAAAGUUUGGUGAUGUUUUUAUGGCCAGCAAUAUGCCGUGGGAACUUAACUCUUGUUUACAUCCAUUAGCCUAUAGUAAAAUUAGUUUCAUUAUACAUCAUUUUGCUUAAAGUUGCCAUUUCUUUUUUUGAGACGAAGUCUUGCUCUGUCGCCCAGGCUGGAGUGCAGUGGUGCGAUCUCGGCUCACCGCAAGCGAUUCUCCUGCCUCAGCCUCCCGAGUAGUUGUGAUUACAGGCACGCGCCACCAGGCCUAAUUUUUGUAUUUUUAGUAGAGAUGGGGUUUUGCCAUGUUGGCCAGGCUGGUCUUGAGCUCCUGACCUCAGGUGAUCCGCCUGCCUCGGCCUCCCAAAGUGCAGGGAUUACAGGCCUGAGCCACCCUGCCCAGCCAAAAUUAGUUUCAUUAUACCCCAUUUUGCUUAAAGUUGCAGUUUCUAAGAAAACCUAUUGAUGACGGUUGGUGAAGAGUUACUGUACCAUGUUGCGGGUCUCCUGGAUCCUGGGCUGGGAGCCCCUGUAGGGGAGAUUCUGGGACAACCCACUUGACUGUGGGUUUACAAAACAACCACGGUGGAAGGUAAGAUUUCAAGGGGGUGGGAAGAGAGCUGGAACCGUGGCAUGCCAGGGGAUUAUCACUGUAUGCCUUGCCCAAGUUAAAAUAACUUGACCAAUAAAUAAAUUCAAAGCAUUUAAUAUUAGAACAACUACGGACAUCAUAAAGCAGAAAGCAAGUCCGACAGUGUUUUGAGAUGCGACAUGAGAUCUUCUGGUGUUUCACCAUCCAGCUCCCCAGGCAGCAUGCUCGAGUAUCUUCUACCUUUAGGGGAGCCGGGGAUGGAGGCGUCCCUGAGAGGGACUAAAGAAGGAAAGUAGAGGAUCAAUUGGCUAAAAACUCAGAACUUGUGAAAGGGUCUGGAUAAAGGUAAGGGGGCUUAAUUUGGAUAAAUGUUGGCUUAUAAAGGAGCAUUUAUCCUUUCCCUGUCAGUGUGAUUGAUUCCAGGAUGUUGAGGUUUGCAGCAGAAAACGCUGCCUGAAGUUGGCGUGCUUGAAGAUCACAGCUUGGGUCCAAAAAAAUUCUCCUUUACAAAACCCAGGCAACUUUCACGAAUGGCAGGCCAUCUCCGCUUAGGAAGUCAUCUGGUUGAAAGGAAGCAGAAAACCCUCCGGUCCAUCUGCGCGCAGGAAGGCGGGGUCUGAAAGAAAGCGCUCUGGACGGGGAGGUGACGCUUCCCAGUCGCAGCUCUAUCUGCUCCAUUCCCCUGUGUAGCUGGAGAUGAAUAUGGAAUGGCUGCGUAUCUUAAGCAAUCUGAAAAACCUUCCAGAACCUUCAUGACGUGAAGGUUCUAGGCUUUGGAGUAAUGGCAAGCACUUCCCGCUGAUACAUACACGUGUGCAACUGAGAGGACGACUCGGUUUUCUCUGGGAUGAGUGUGGACAAACGGUUCCCAUGUGGUAGGUACUUCUCCUGCAUCCUCAGGUACCUUUUCUCUUCCUCACAGACCAUUGUACCUUUUUGUUUUAUCAAGAGUUGUAUAUUUUGUCUUUUUUUUUUUUUUUUUAAACUGCUUUUGGGCUGGGUGCAGUGACUCACACCUGUAAUCCCAGCACUUUGGGAGGCCGAGGCAGGAGGAUCAUUUGAGGUCAGAAGUUUGAGACCAGCCUGGCCAACAUGGCAAAAUCACCCGUCUAUACUAAAAAUACAAAAAUUAGCCAGUUGUGGUGGCGGACGCCUGUAAUCCCAGCUACUCGGGAGGCUGAGGCAGGAGAAUUGCUUGAACCCAGGAGGCAGAGGUUGCAGUGAGCCGAGAUCAGGCCAUUGCACUCCAUUCUAGGUGACAGAGCGAGACCCCACCUAAAAAAAACAAAACCUGCUUUUGGCUUUACAUUAACUGUUGGUUUUUGAUUCUGUUGAUGUCUGUUUUUAUCCUGAUUUAACCCCUGCCUUCUGCUGCUUUGGGAUUGCUGCUCCCUUUUCUGAGCUGAGGUGCCAGGCCCUCCCAGCCCCUCCCAGCCCCAUCCCCUGGGUUUUGUAUUGUGUGCUUUUACUGUCAGCCCAGUCUAGAGAGUUUAUAGUUUGUUUUUAUUAACCUCUUUAAAUCCAAGUAAAUUCAGGAGUGUCUGGAAUUGUCUUAUUUUGCUUUUUGUUGAUUUCUCACUAUUCUGCAUUGGGGUCAAUUCCUAGAAAAGCAGGGCCCUGCCUGAGGGUACAGCCCAUAGGGUGCAGUGUCUCGCGGUUGGGGGGUUCUAUAAUUUGGCCUGUAUGGUGUGAAUCUUUGUGCAUCUGAGCUGUUCUUUGUGGCCUUCGUACAGGGUGGUUUUUUGUGCAUGGUCUAUGUGUAUUUGAAAUUCCAUAACGCAUCUACUGGAUCCAGCCUGUUAGCGAUAUUAAGUAAAUCCUCCAGAUCUUUACAUUUUUCUCACUGAUUUGCCUGCCGUUAGAAUGGAUUUUAUUUCUCUUUGUAGUUCAGUCAGUUUUUGCUUUGAUAUUCUGACGGUAUAUUAGGUGGAUGCUGUUGCUGUUUAGAACUGUUGAAAAUCAAGAGUAAGGCAAUGGCUUGCUUCCAGAAUACUUUGGAAAUGGCAGCUGUGUAUCACACUGAACAGUCCUCUCCUGUCCUGUUUCAUUUUGAUGGCUGUUUAGUCAAUGAAUAUUUAGAAAAUAUUUGCUUUGUAUCACAUAUCACAGACACAAUAGUAAGCAAAAUAGUCACCAAUGACUAAACUGUAUAAGUAUAUAAUUAUAAGCCAUGGUAAAAGCUGUGAAGAAAAAGUACGGCUCUACCAGCUUGCUACUGGAAGGUGGUGGUGGCAAAUGUCACAGAAGAGCACCCUAAGUAAAUACAGGGAAAAGGACAUGGAGGUUAUUGCCUUGGAGGCCAGGGACAAGCACAUCCAAAGGCCCUCAGAGGAAAAGAGGUAAGGGGCUGGAGACCGAAAAGGCGGCCUGCAGGGCUGGAGCUGGGAGGGCGGACACAGAGAAGCUGGCUAAGCAGAGACCGUAUAGGACCACGCAGCGUGAUCCCUGAGGCGUCCUGAGGGAGCUGAGGCCAGGGUGGCUGGCUGGGUGGGGAAGGAGGC
Molecule: long non-coding RNA, 6987 nt
Organism: Pongo pygmaeus (Bornean orangutan)
Lineage: Eukaryota; Metazoa; Chordata; Mammalia; Primates; Hominidae
Exons: 2
Source: RefSeq, a predicted model, not a curated record